Molecule: ribosomal RNA, 207 nt
Filed under: uncultured bacterium
Lineage: Bacteria
Description: partial 16S ribosomal RNA
Rfam family: Bacterial small subunit ribosomal RNA
Source: RNAcentral
UUCGUAGGCGGUUCGUCGCGUCCGGUGUGAAAGUCCAUCGCUUAACGGUGGAUCCGCGCCGGGUACGGGCGGGCUUGAGUGCGGUAGGGGAGACUGGAAUUCCCGGUGUAACGGUGGAAUGUGUAGAUAUCGGGAAGAACACCAAUGGCGAAGGCAGGUCUCUGGGCCGUCACUGACGCUGAGGAGCGAAAGCGUGGGGAGCGAACA